AAUCCAGAGAAGAUGGACAAAACCAGGCCUGUCAGGAUACUUGAUGCCAGGUGCGUUGGUGUAACUGUCAACUUGUGAAAAUGCCAUAGGAAGAUGGGUGCAGCCUCCAUCCCAUGAGGCCCUUGGAAACACCUGGUAGGAGAAAGUGGUUGCCAAGGAAGUGACCUCACUUCACUUCUUUGAAGGUAGUGACCCCACCCAACUUCAUUGUUGAUGGAACUCUCUGAACUUGGAAUCCAGGUAGCUAGGCACCCAGAGCCACAAACAGUCCCAGUCUGCUUACUUCUUUGGACUCAACAAGUGCAGAGUUAUACUUUCUUGAUAUCUACUGAUCUGUGGAUUGACAAAUUCCAGAAAAGCACCAGGAAGGGCCCUUUCCUGAGAAUGAAAGUACUUGAUCAUCACUGGGUCAUGGCAACUUCAGCGAGUUUGCACAAGGAGACCAGAGGUGACACAGGACAAGCAAUUGCAGCUAAAAGUGGGACAGAAACAAGACCUACUGGCUGAGCAAGGAAGCUAGAGCAGAAUAUAAGCCAUUGGAACAGCCCCCUUGAACUUAUUGAAGGUCAUGGAUCAUUUCUCAGAUCAGUAUCUGCACAGACCACCAAGCAAACAGUCCUCUCAGUUGCUCCAACAGUUCAGACAGAACAAAAGAGUCCAAGCUCCUUCCAGAUAAAGCAAAAGUUCUGUUUGCUUUCCAGAGUGAAGAAUCACUCAUACCUAAAUUCACUACCAAAUUAACACUUAUCUUUGUGCCCAUCUGGGCCAUUCUGGAAUGCUCUACUGAAUCAAAAACCUACCAGUCAACCCUACAUAUAAAAACAUGACUCUUUACAAACAAAAUAGUGUUUUAAAAACAGAAACAAAGCACUAUUUAACAUCUCUGAAUGCCUGCUAAGACCAUGUAUUCACAUUCCAUAAAAAUUAAUAUAGCUCUCUAUUGACAAGAAAUUUCUUAAGAGAAAAGCAAGUUCAUACUUAUAAGUGGGUAAUGAACUAAAAAUCUCAUUAACACACUUUAUGGAAAUAAGAGUAACCAAAACAAAUACAAAUAAACUGCAUUAUUGUUAAUACUCUCUCUUAAGGUCAUGAGAAGAACAAAAUUUUAUUCGAAAACUUAAUUGGGCACCUAGUGAAGUUAUUGCUGCUCUACAGGCACUGUGGAAGAUAGAAACAAAGAUGAGUUUAUUUCUGAAUUUGGCCGGUGUGGGAAAUGGUUCCACUUCAUGCAAACACUGCUGAAGAGAAAAGGCUGAAGAAGGAGAAAAAGAGGAGACUGAGGCUAUGCUGUACCAAUACCUUGGCAGAGCACAGCAGAGGAAUGUCUGGCAGGAUCCAGGCUACAUGCCCAGCUCAACACCUUGAAGAUGCUUUGAAAGGAUUUUCCCAAUGCCCAUGCCCAAGAGGGGUCCUCAAAUACAUAAUAUUUGCCAUUAGCACAAUUUGCUAAGAGAACAGAAAAAAAAGUCUAACAAAGCCACAAAAUAUUGGUUCUCUUUUUCUGAAAUAAAGAAUUUUAG
Molecule: non-coding RNA, 1520 nt
Organism: Ictidomys tridecemlineatus (thirteen-lined ground squirrel)
Lineage: Eukaryota; Metazoa; Chordata; Mammalia; Rodentia; Sciuridae
Source: RefSeq, a predicted model, not a curated record